Molecule: ribosomal RNA, 322 nt
Filed under: uncultured eukaryote
Lineage: Eukaryota
Description: partial 18S ribosomal RNA
Rfam family: Eukaryotic small subunit ribosomal RNA
Source: RNAcentral
CCCUUAGAUGUUCUGGGCCGCACGCGUGCUACACUGAGUGGAUCAGCGGGUCAGGUUGCGCGAAAGCGUUUCCUAAUCUUUAAAUCCGCUCGUGAUGGGGAUUGACGGUUGCAAUUUUCUGUCAUGAACGAGGAAUACCUUGUAAGCGCGGGUCAUCAUCCCGCGCUGAAUACGUCCCUGCCCUUUGUACACACCGCCCGUCGCUCCUACCGAUUGAGCGGUCCGGUGAGGCUUUGGGAUCUGAGCGGAAAGAGCGUUUCGCUGUUUCUGCCCGGAAAACUCAGUCGAACCUUAUCAUUUAGAGGAAGGAGAAGUCGUAACA